RNAcentral lists this ribosomal RNA (274 nucleotides) under uncultured bacterium. RNAcentral's name for it is "partial 16S ribosomal RNA". It matches the Rfam family "Bacterial small subunit ribosomal RNA", at positions 523 to 796 of the family's 1533-position model. The record is from RNAcentral.
AUACGGAGGGUGCAAGCGUUAUUCGGAAUCACUGGGCGUAAAGGACGCGUAGGCGGGUUGGCAAGUCAGAUGUGAAAUCCUACAGCUUAACUGUAGAACUGCAUUUGAAACUGCUAACCUAGAGUAUGGGAGGGGGAGAUGGAAUUAGUGGUGUAGGGGUAAAAUCCGUAGAUAUCACUAGGAAUACCGAAAGCGAAGGCGAUCUCCUGGAACAUAACUGAUGCUAAGGCGUGAAAGCGUGGGGAGCAAACAGGAUUAGAUACCCCUGUAGUCC